RNAcentral lists this ribosomal RNA (1132 nucleotides) under Monascus purpureus. RNAcentral describes it as "SSU rRNA". It matches the Rfam family "Eukaryotic small subunit ribosomal RNA", at positions 20 to 1162 of the family's 1831-position model. Lineage: Eukaryota; Fungi; Ascomycota; Eurotiomycetes; Eurotiales; Aspergillaceae. The record is from RNAcentral.
GUAGUCAUAUGCUUGUCUCAAAGAUUAAGCCAUGCAUGUCUAAGUGUAAGCAAUUUAUACUGUGAAACUGCGAAUGGCUCAUUAAAUCAGUUAUCGUUUAUUUGAUAGUACCUUACUACAUGGAUACCUGUGGUAAUUCUAGAGCUAAUACAUGCUAAAAACCCCGACUUCGGAAGGGGUGUAUUUAUUAGAUAAAAAACCAACGCCCUUCGGGGCUCCUUGGUGAAUCAUAAUAACUAAACGAAUCGCAUGGCCUUGCGCCGGCGAUGGUUCAUUCAAAUUUCUGCCCUAUCAACUUUCGAUGGUAGGAUAGUGGCCUACCAUGGUGGCAACGGGUAACGGGGAAUUAGGGUUCGAUUCCGGAGAGGGAGCCUGAGAAACGGCUACCACAUCCAAGGAAGGCAGCAGGCGCGCAAAUUACCCAAUCCCGACACGGGGAGGUAGUGACAAUAAAUACUGAUACGGGGCUCUUUCGGGUCUCGUAAUCGGAAUGAGAACGACCUAAAUAACCUAACGAGGAACAAUUGGAGGGCAAGUCUGGUGCCAGCAGCCGCGGUAAUUCCAGCUCCAAUAGCGUAUAUUAAAGUUGUUGCAGUUAAAAAGCUCGUAGUUGAACCUUGGGUCUGGCUGGCCGGUCCGCCUCAUCGCGAGUACUGGUCCGGCCGGACCUUUCCUUCUGGGGAACCUCAUGGCCUUCACUGGCUGUGGGGGGAACCAGGACUUUUACUGUGAAAAAAUUAGAGUGUUCAAAGCAGGCCUUUGCUCGAAUACAUUAGCAUGGAAUAAUAGAAUAGGACGUGCGGUUCUAUUUUGUUGGUUUCUAGGACCGCCGUAAUGAUUAAUAGGGAUAGUCGGGGGCGUCAGUAUUCAGCUGUCAGAGGUGAAAUUCUUGGAUUUGCUGAAGACUAACUACUGCGAAAGCAUUCGCCAAGGAUGUUUUCAUUAAUCAGGGAACGAAAGUUAGGGGAUCGAAGACGAUCAGAUACCGUCGUAGUCUUAACCAUAAACUAUGCCGACUAGGGAUCGGACGGGUUUCUAUGAUGACCCGUUCGGCACCUUACGAGAAAUCAAAGUUUUUGGGUUCUGGGGGGAGUAUGGUCGCAAGGCUGAAACUUAAAGGAAUUGACGGAAG